RNAcentral lists this long non-coding RNA (4832 nucleotides) under Salmo salar (Atlantic salmon). RNAcentral's name for it is "lncRNA (ENSSSAG00000083363.1)". Lineage: Eukaryota; Metazoa; Chordata; Actinopteri; Salmoniformes; Salmonidae. The record is from RNAcentral.
CAGGUGUGGGGUGUGCCUGGACUUUACCAAGGUGGCCAGGUGCCAGGACAAGGGUUUGGUGGUCGUGGAGUGUUGCCCGGUGUGGCCACUGGGAACGGACUCAAUCCCAAAUCAUUGCCAGGUGGAGGACAGCAGGGACCAGGAGGCUCGGGUCGUGUUGGUUAUGGAGGACCAAUGCAGCCAGGAGUAUUCCAUGGAUACCCACUCAAAACACCCAAAACACAAGGUGGCUAUGGAGCAAAAGUUGGAGGAGCUGGAGGCAAACUUCCAUUUGGAUAUGGAGGCUUUGGUGGUGGUGGUGGAGCAGGCCUUCCUGGUGGAAAAGGUGGUCCUGGAUCCAAGCCUGGAUACCCCAUUGGAACUGGUGUUGGGACAGGAGGUCUUAACCCGGCCCAGGCUCAGGCUAAAGCUGCUAAAUAUGGUGCUGGUCCUGGUUUGGGUGGUGUGCCUGGUGCAGGUGGAGCUUACCCUGGAGCAGGAGGAGCUUACCCUGGAGCAGGAGGAGCUUACCCUGGAGGAGUCCCAGGAGGUGCGGGUGGGGUCCCAGGUCUUGGAUCAGUAGCAGGAGGAGCAGGAGGAGUACCUGGAUGGUUACCCGCAGGAGCUGGAGGAUAUAACCCUGCUGCGGCCAAAGCUGCUAAAUAUGGAGUUCCAGGGGGUGCAGGUGCAGGCCUAGGAGCUGGAGGAUUUGGUGGGGUACCAGGAGGAGGAGGAGGGGGUGUACCUGGGGCCGGAGGACUCCCAGGAGGAGGUGCAGGCAGGCUCCCAGGUGCUGGCUCAGUCGCAGGAGGAGCAGGAGGAGUACCUGGGGCUGGAGGAUAUAAUCCUGCUGCGGCCAAAGCCGCUAAAUAUGGAGUUCCAGGAGGAGCAGGUGCAGGGUUAGGAGGAGCUGGAGGCUAUGGAGCGGGAGCCAGGCCUCCCUAUUACGGUGUUCCAGGGGGUGCUGGAUUUGGGGGAGCAGGAGCUUUUCCAGGGUCUGGAGGAUUCAACCCUGCCGCCGCCGCCAAAGCUGCUAAAUAUGGGGUCCCAGGAGGUACAGGGGCAGGCCUAGGAGCUGGAGGUCUUGGAGGAACAGGAGGGGUACCAGCAGGAGGAGCUGGGGCUGGAGGUGUCCCCGGAGGUGCAGGAGCAGGCCUAGGAGCAGGAGGAGUACCAGGAGGAGGAGCAGGGGGGGUACCUGGGGCUGGAGGAUAUAAUCCUGCUGCAGCCAAAGCAGCUAAAUAUGGAGUUCCAGGAGGUACAGGAGCAAGCCUAGGAGCUGGAGGACUUGGAGGAGGAUAUGGAGGAGCAGGAGGGGCUGGGGCUGGAGGAUAUAACCCUGCUGCGGCCAAAGCUGCUAAAUAUGGAGUUCCAGGAGGCCUAGGAACAGGCUUAGGAGGAGGAGGACUUGGAGGAGUACAGGGAGGAGUACCUGGAGGAGGAGCAGGGGGUGUACCUGGGGCUGGAGGAUAUAAUCCUGCUGCAGCCAAAGCUGCUAAAUAUGGUCAGGGGGCUGCUGGUGGGCCAGGGGGUGGAUAUGGUGGCGUGCCUGCUGGAGGAUAUCCCAGGCCUGGGGGCUAUGGGGGGUAUGGAGGGGCAGGAGCUGGAGGGUAUAAUCCUGCUGUGGCCAAAGCUGCUAAAUAUGUCCCAGGAGCUGGAGGAGCAGGCCUAGGAGCUGGAGGAGCAGGCCUAGGAGGAGCAGGAGGAGUACCAGGGCCUGGGGCUGGACCAGGAUAUGGAGGCUAUGGAGGAUAUGGAGGGGUACCAGCAGGAGGGGCUGCUGCUGCGGCCAAAGCUGCUAAAUAUGGAGUACCAGGAGGUGCAGGAGCAGGCCUUGGAGCUGGAGGACUUGGAGGAGCAGGAGGAGUACCAGGGGCUGGAGGAUAUAACCCUGCAGUGGCCAAAGCGGCUAAAUAUGGAGUCCCCGGAGGUGCAGGAGCAGGCAUAAGAGCUGGAGGAACAGGAGGAUUACCAGGAGGAGGAGCAGGGGGUGUACCUGGGGCUGGAGGAUAUAAUCCCGCUGCAGCCAAAGCUGCUAAAUAUGGAGUCCCAGGAGGUGUAGGAACAGGCCUAGGAGCAGGAGGACUUGGAGGAGGAGGACAGGGAGGAGUACCUGGACAAGUAGGAGCUGGAGGAUAUGAUCCCGCAGCCAAAGCUGCUAAAUAUGGUAUGCCAAGUGGGGCGGGCAUCGGUGGAGAAGGUGUGCCAGCACCUAUAGCGACUCCAAGACCAGGUGUGGGCGUGGGUGGUGGUGUUGGAGGAACUGCCAUUGAGCGCACUGACGUACCAGUGGGCACAGGGAUACCUAUCGCAGGCAAACCAGCAGAGGAUUCAUCUCUAGAACCCAGUGGAACUCCCAUCCCAGGUGCCACAGGAGUAACUGGAGUUGGGGCUGGGGUUCUUCAACCUAGUGUUGGUACAGGCCCAGCUCAGCCUGGUGUGGGUGUCGGAGCAGGUGGCAAAGCUCCUAAACCCCCUGGUGCAGGGGGAUACCCGUAUGGUGGUUAUGGACAGGGUGCUGGUGGAUAUCCCUAUGGAGGAGGACAUGGAAAUCCAUACGGAGCAGGAGCUGGACAACUUCCUGGAGCCAAGCCCCUGAAACCUCCAGUUGUGGGAGGAGCAGGUGGUGUGGCUGGAGGAGCAGGUAUCCCUCUUACUGGAGCAGGUGGUGGUGCAGGGGGAUACCCGUAUGGUUAUGGUCAAGGUGGUUAUGGACAGGGACAGGGUGUGAGGUAUCCCACUGGUGUUGGUCUGGGGGCAGGAGCAGGUCAAAAAGCACCCAAACCCCCAGGUUAUGGUAACCUAGGUGCUGGUGGUGCUGGUUAUAAUCCAGGUGCUGGUGCGGUCCCAGGUUACGGCGGUGGCUACCCACAACAACAGGGUUACCCACAGCAAGGUGGCAGCUACCCACAACAACCCUACCCAGGAGCAUAUGGAGCAGGCCAGACGGCACCACUGACUCCUCAACAAGCCAAAGCAGCCAAGUAUGGCCCACUCCAGGGCUUCCUUGGUGGAGCAGGAGGAGGAGGCUACAGACCAGGAGGAGUUGCUGCUGGAUGCCAAAGCAAAUACUGUGGAAGGCAGAAGUAGAGGAUGUUCUUCAGAAGAAGUUGAACCUCAAGAAACAAUGGUGCUACUGCAUGAUCUAGAAUGUACAUUUUAUAUGCACAAAAUCCCCCAUUACAGUAUGUAAAGAUAUGUUGUACUUUAUUUGACUCAAUAUAUUUUUUAUACAAACCCACCGACCCAGACUUUUGCACACAUUUGAUGUGACUUAGUGUUUUUGAUUGUGCCUUUAUCAUUGUUCAUUGUGUUCAUCAGCUCUUACUGACAUGUCUGCGAUGCUCCCUUUUAGUAGUUACCAAGUGUUUGUAUGUGCAUGCAUGUGUGUGGGCGUGGAUGUGUGGCUGUGUGUCUCUCUAUGUGCUUGUGAGUUUUCACAUGUUGCCAGAGAUGUUUGGGUAUAUAGGAGAAUAUGAAAGAUUAUCCAACUAGAGCCAUUCAGCAUGCUUUUAAUGCAGAGAAGUGCUCCAAGUCAAAACCAGCACCAUUCCUGUAACUGUACAUCCCUCUCCAUGUGCUUAGUGUCUGUGUGUACCAAAGUUGGAGAUCUUCACAUACUGACAUCUCAAACCAAGGGUUGAGCUUCAAGAGGUGUGGUUGGUAAAGUGCUGAUAAACUUUGGCCAUGUAUCUUCAGAACUGCCUCCUCUGGCUUUCUAUCAUCUCUGCUGCUAUUUAUAGCCCUGGGUGAAAUAGCAGUGGCAUAGCGCGUGUGUGUGGGCACAGGUUUCACAGUCCAUCUGCCAUCAGCAACUUUGACUAUAUUUUAAGUGCCAUGGUGUAAGUAGCCUUCUUGCCUUGAUUUCUGACAAACUUGGGAAGUAUGAAGAGCAGGUGUUGCUCUGAAUGUGAUAAAGCUGAUGACAAUCAAUCCAAAGGUGUUCAAAAGAUUUGUAGGUGAUAUCUUCAGUGAUAUUCAUAUCAUACAUUGUGUUGGUUUGUACCCAAGUCCUUUCAAAUGGUGUGUUUUGUUUUUUAAAUGAUUUGUAUGUUUUAAGUUUUACAAACAUGUAAAAGUAAAACUGAAAUCCUUUCGAUACUGCUCUGGCAUGUCUUGUACGUUAUGUAUGUAUGUAUUGAACAUUUUGUUUUAUUAAUUACUUAUCAUUUUUCUGGUGUCCAAGAUUAAGUGCCUAGAAUGUUAUGCAUAUCUGUAAUCAAUCUAGUUUCACAUGCAGUUAUAGUUUCAUUUAUGCAAAUUGUCGCUCAUUAUUCAAGUUUCAAAUGUUUCCGCUCAUGAAAGUAGACUAUCACCAUAUUUGUGUAAUCUUGAAUAAGGCAAAAAAUGUUUGUUAAAAAAAAAUAUAUAUUUGGGUAAUGCAUUUAAUCACUGUUGAGAAUUUUAAUAUGUGUCUGUGUGUAGGCUAUAGCCCCUAGUCUGUGUAAAUUGUGAGAGUGAGCUCCCAUUUCACUCUUUACUUGAGUUAGUUACAGUUGAAUAAGACUCACUAGACAUUACUGACCAAAGAUUGAUUCGCUCUGUUAUAAAGUUACACUACGAUGUCUCUUUAGGGAUUGUGUGUACUGUAUGUUGUAGUAAUUGCCCUAGGUUAUCAUGACUCUCACUCGCUUCAGUUUUUGUAGCCUACUCGUGAGGCUUUUUCUGAACUGUGUGUGAGCCGCUCCUCUGCCGUGCGGUGGGAUAGUAUUCAUCUUAUUUAAAUGGAAAAAGGAGGAACGAUGGGGUUUUGCACUUUUAUAUUUUCAUGACGCACAUGUGACUUGUUCCCGGUAAUCCCGGCAUUUUAUUUGCUUAAGUAAAAUAACGAAAUAAAAUGGUUAAUAAAUACA